GCCCUAGUAGCUUAACUAAAAGCAUCGGUCUUGUAAUCCGAAGAUUGGAGGUUAAAUCCCCCCCUAGCGCC
Molecule: transfer RNA, 71 nt
Filed under: Oreonectes platycephalus
Lineage: Eukaryota; Metazoa; Chordata; Actinopteri; Cypriniformes; Nemacheilidae
Also listed under: 1 other name
Description: tRNA-Thr
Rfam family: tRNA
About the family: Transfer RNA (tRNA) molecules are approximately 80 nucleotides in length. Their secondary structure includes four short double-helical elements and three loops (D, anti-codon, and T loops).
Source: RNAcentral